UACGCGGUUGCGUAGCAACGGGAGAUCUCCGACCCGGAAGUGCUGCCACUCUGAGCUGUCCCACCUGCGACUGAUUCCUCGCCAGCUGCUGCCAAUCAUCCACCAUCGUUGGCAGAGCUAUUUAAUGGUGUGGCUGAGUGACAGACAGCCCUGGAGUAUUCCACCAAGCCUGGUAGUGACUCAAGCUCAGAGAAUGUAAGAUAGCGAAGGAAGUCUAAUCGCGUCUGUUUGCCUUUUUUGCACUAAACGAACGAGACGGAGAGACGGGAGGAGAGAUGUCACUAUUCACAAGAGUUGUGUGGACAUACGAGGGGAGCACUGAAGGGACUUUGCACUGUGGAUAACUGUGGAGUGGCUUCACUCUAAAUAAAGACACUGUUCAACUUUAACGAGAGGUCCGCGUCUGGGUUCACUAACUCACCACCCUUAACAGGAGGACUUGUAAGAAUGAAUGAUGCUGCGAAGCAUGAAAAUGCCAUUGGGUCUGCAGUGGUGGUUUACAGUCACGUCACAUGACAGCGUAACACCUAAACACAAGAGGGGGGAGGAGGAGCAAAGUCUGCCUGCUUUUCGCUGACACGGAAGCAGCGAAUCCGGCGACCUGGCUGUUUCGUCUUUGCCGAAUGCACAGCAUUGCAAACAAGAGCAGUGAAGAGCCUGAGGCCGGUGACACUCCAGUUCUACUCUAAGUACAUCCUUACAGUGGCUCACAGGACAAGGCGACAUUCCUGUCCUGCCAGAAGAGAAGAGAAACUUCAGAGUCUUCAUGAAGUUCAACCACACCUGUCAUAUUCCAUAUGACAGAGGUCUCAAACUCCAUUCCUCGAAGGUCGGUGUCAUGCAACUUUUCCAUGCCCUCGAGGACUGGAGUUUGAGACCCCUGCCGUAUGGUGUUCAUGCAGUUUUCUACCCCACAGUUACAGCAUGUCUGACUGCCUGUUCA
This is a long non-coding RNA of Oreochromis niloticus (Nile tilapia), 943 nucleotides long. RefSeq lists it as uncharacterized. Lineage: Eukaryota; Metazoa; Chordata; Actinopteri; Cichliformes; Cichlidae. The transcript is spliced from 3 exons. The record is from RefSeq and is a predicted model, not a curated record.